GCUUACGGCCAUACCACCCUGAAUGCGCCCGAUCUCGUCUGAUCUCGGAAGCUAAGCAGGGUCAGGCCUGGUUAGUACUUGGAUGGGUGACCGCCUGGGAACACCAGGUGCUGUAUGCU
Molecule: ribosomal RNA, 119 nt
Filed under: Larimichthys crocea (large yellow croaker)
Lineage: Eukaryota; Metazoa; Chordata; Actinopteri; Sciaenidae
Source: RNAcentral